This 74-nucleotide transfer RNA is filed under the name ANME-2 cluster archaeon. RNAcentral describes it as "tRNA-Val". It matches the Rfam family "tRNA". Rfam says of the family: Transfer RNA (tRNA) molecules are approximately 80 nucleotides in length. Their secondary structure includes four short double-helical elements and three loops (D, anti-codon, and T loops). Further hydrogen bonds mediate the characteristic L-shaped molecular structure. tRNAs have two regions of fundamental functional importance: the anti-codon, which is responsible for specific mRNA codon recognition, and the 3' end, to which the tRNAs corresponding amino acid is attached (by aminoacyl-tRNA synthetases). tRNAs cope with the degeneracy of the genetic code in two manners: having more than one tRNA (with a specific anti-codon) for a particular amino acid; and 'wobble' base-pairing, i.e. permitting non-standard base-pairing at the 3rd anti-codon position. Lineage: Archaea; Methanobacteriati; Methanobacteriota; Methanomicrobia; Methanosarcinales. RNAcentral also lists the same sequence under 1 other name. The record is from RNAcentral.
GGGCUCGUGGUCUAGUUGGUUAUGACAUCGCCUUCACACGGCGGGGAUCCUGCGUUCGAAUCGCAGCGAGCCCA